Molecule: long non-coding RNA, 1287 nt
Organism: Bos indicus x Bos taurus (hybrid cattle)
Lineage: Eukaryota; Metazoa; Chordata; Mammalia; Artiodactyla; Bovidae
Source: Ensembl
UCUCACUGUUCUUUUCCCAAACACACAAGAUCUCACAAUCCCAGCAAGAGGAAAUGACUUAGGGAUGAAGGCUUCAGAGGAGGAAAAAAAAAUAGAGGCUUCCAAUAAAAAUCAUUUCUAGAAGGAAUGAAGCUGUUAUUGGCAAGUCAACCAGUGAGAGAGACGACUUUGGAAAGAAAGAAGUUCUAUCUUCUAUCCACAUGUCUGUUAGAGAAUGUUUGCAGGUAUUUCCUGGGGGCUUCCCUGGUGGCUCAGAUGGUAAAGAGUCUGCCUGCAGUACAGGAGACCAGGGUUCGAUCCCUGGAUUUGGAAGAUCUGAUGGAGAAGGGAAUGGCUACCAACUCCAGUAUUCUUGCCUAGAGAAUUCCACAGACAGAGGAUCCUGGAGAGCCACAGUACACGGGAUUGCAAAGAGCUGGACAAGACUGACUAACACUAUUACCCUCCUACAGGGAUUUGUGAUUCCCCAAGAACUCUUCUCGGCAUAUCCUCAACUCUGAUGCUUUCUUCUCUACCGGGGAAGACGAGCAGAGAAAGUCCAUGCAUUUGUCAGUCUUGGCCCCUGGUGAUAACUGUGCCAUGGAGGCAGCAGGCAUUUGGAACUGCCAUGUCAUCAAGGUGAGGCUGACCCUUGAUUCAGCCAAGUGAGGCCCCCAAAUGCCAAAUGGCAUCUACUUCAGUCCAACUAGAAUGUGUUUAUGAAUCACUUCAGAUCUUGUUACAAAUGCCAGUCUUGAGUGAGGGGUUCUAGAUUCUCUACUUCUAACAAGCUUGGGUGCCUGUGGCCAGCCAAGGGACAGAUGCUGCUCAUCCAUAGACAGUACCCUGAGUACCAUGGUUUAAUACGUUGGGCCCCUUCCUUUCAAUCAAAUGUCACACAUUUUAAAACAAACUUCUGAAUGUCAUAGAAAUCUAGGCCCAAGCCUAGGAGAAUGGAAAAUCAUGGCUCCAGAACCACAGAUACAAUCUGAUCAAAAGGAUAUUUUGAGGUCAGAUGAAACGUACUGCAAACAUGAGUCAGUGAAAGCAAGAAAGAGCUGAGACUCACAAAGAAAACCAACGGCCAGGAGGUGGAGAUCCAGUCUCUUCUUAACUGUUCAAAGUCACCAGCUGAUAAUGACAUCAGUUUCAGUAUGUUCAAUUUUAUUUGUUGAUGUUUUUGAUCUAAUUAUGUUUAAUGCGUACAUAUCUUUUAUUGCAAGCAAGUUCAAAUCUGCUUUUUUUACAAAAGAAAUCCAUAGGUUGAAAAACGAAACCAUCACAAAAUAAAAAUUUAUUCUUCUUCCU